Molecule: ribosomal RNA, 546 nt
Filed under: uncultured bacterium
Lineage: Bacteria
Description: bacterial SSU rRNA
Rfam family: Bacterial small subunit ribosomal RNA
Source: RNAcentral
AGAGUUUGAUCUUGGCUCAGAAUGAACGUUGGCGGCGUGGAUUAGGCAUGCAAGUCGUGCCCGAUCUGUAGCAAUACAGGGAGAGCGAGCUGUAAGGGAGAGUAAUACGUAGGUAUCUGCCCUCGGGUCUGGGAUAGCGGCGGGAAACUGCCGGUAAUACCAGAUAAUGUCUCCGGACCAAAGGUGUGAUUCCACCUGAGGAGGAGCCUACGGCCUAUUAGCUAGUUGGCAGGGUAACGGCCUACCAAGGCAAAGAUGGGUACGGGGUGUGAGAGCAUGCCCCCGCUCACUGGGACUGAGACACUGCCCAGACACCUACGGGUGGCUGCAGUCGAGAAUCUUCGGCAAUGGGCGCAAGCCUGACCGAGCGACGCCGCGUGCGGGAUGAAGGCCUUCGGGUUGUAAACCGCUGUCGUAGGGGAUGAAAUGCUAGUGGGUUAUCCCAUUAGCUUGACUGAACCUAACUAGGAAGGGCCGGCUAAUCUCGUGCCAGCAGCCCGCGGUAAUACGAGAGGCUCCAAACGUUAUUUCCGGAUUUACUGGGGC